Molecule: long non-coding RNA, 2211 nt
Organism: Gossypium raimondii (Peruvian cotton)
Lineage: Eukaryota; Viridiplantae; Streptophyta; Magnoliopsida; Malvales; Malvaceae
Exons: 2
Source: RefSeq, a predicted model, not a curated record
UGAGAAGAAGAAGAAAGGAAGAAAGUUUUCUUUUCUUUACAAAUUGGUCCUUUUUAACAAAAAUCCACCAUUUUCACCUAGAAAUCAAAAGAAUUUCCAUAGCUUCCAAGAGAGAAAACUAUUAAGGAGACAAUGAGGAGCUAGAAUAUCAAGUUAGAUUCAAGAAAUAGAAGCUGGAGGAGAGAGAAAAUCAAGUUAAAGAUUGAAGUCAAUAGUACAAGUAUUGACAUUCUCUGCGAGCUCCAAGUUUGCUGGGCACAUGUCUACGGAGCACACGGUCCUUUUUGUUCCUGGGACUAGCAUUCAGGGUGAGCUCCGUACCUGUUGAAUGCAUGCCUGGGUGGCCUGUGGAGCACGUGACACUUCCUACGAGUUCCUUGGGUAUAUAUGAGGUGAGACUGCGACCUUCCCUAGGUCCCCGCGAGCUGGGUCUAUAACCCUAUCUUGCAAGCUGGUUUUGCGAGUUGUUCAAAGGUAAAUUAUGAAUAUGUAUCCAAUAAGAGGUCGCAGAAAAAUCUAUUUCUCCCAAAACAUUACAUGUCUUUCAUUCUUUUAACUCCAAAAAAUCCCCCCAUAACUAACCAUCACCCUUUCUUCUCAUCAUAUCUUCAAAUCUAAAAGAAAUACUAUAUUUAUUCCUCUCCUAUUGGAAAAUAUGGACAUUACAUAUAUAAUAAGAGUAAUUACGUGUUAUUAUUUACCAUCAUAAAAAAAUUAGCCCAAAUUAAAAGUGAUCUAAUUUAGUUAAGGUUUAUUGGGAAUUAGUUAUUAAAUAAAGUAUGGGUCAAAUAUGUGUAGAUACUCUAGUAACUAAUUUGUAAUUGAUGAUGGGUUGAUUAGAAAUUACGAUUAAUAUGCAAAAGCUAUAUGUUAGAGUUAUGGUCCCCAAAUUACACAUACGUAACUUUUCUAAUAUCAAAUCUUUAGAAAAAAGAGAGUCAGAUUCUUUGAAUUACUUGUGUGCUAAUUUGGAAGAUCAGGACCAUAAGAUCGAAGAUUCCAAUAAAUCAAUGGAUUUAGGUACACUUUCACAUGUAAUUUUGUUCUUGAUUUAUUAUUGAUAAUUUGACUUGACAAAUCUUGGUUUACAAUUUUAAGUUUAUAUCAGAUCUUGUUUUAUGAAUCUUACAAGUGGCAUCCGAGCCUCGUCAUGUUGAAUCAUUGAGAACAAAUUGAUUCUCUAUCAUUUUUUGAUUGAUUCAUUUUCAAAUUUUACAAUUUUAAUAUAUGGAUUUAAUUUUUCAAUUCUACACAUAUUAAAUGUAUGAUUUGUAUUUAUACACAUGAUAUCAAAGGGUGCUAAGCUGCUAACUAACUUCUGUAACUAUCUUUAACUACUAACUUCUUUAACCUUUCUUUAACAAACCAACUACUCAACUGCUACUACUCUAACAUUCUUCCGAUGUUCUGUUUUGUGUUGACCUCUUUGGUUGACUAUUUCUCAAAGGGAGGACUCGUAAGGCAUCUCGAAAGGAAGAAAACUUCUUUGGAGUGAUAGGUUUGGUGAGAACUUCUACAAUUUGGCUUGCUAAGGGCACAAAAUUGACAUGCAGGAUACCAUCAUGAACUUUCUUUCGGACAAAGUGAUGAUCAAUCUCCACCUUAACCUUAGCAUGAUGAGUUGGAUCGGCUGCUAUUGACACCGUGGAGGUGUUGUCACACCACACUACUGGAGUAUGUUGUAGAUGGACACCAACUUCAGUCAGCAGCUACUUCACCCAUAGUAGUUCAAUAAUACAAUUUGCGAGAUUGUGAUAUUCUGCUUCUUAGGAGGAUUUAGAAACAACAGUCUGCUUUUUGGAACACCAUUUAACUGGAUUGGAGCCAGGGUAAAUGCAGUAACCUGUGGUGGAUCGUCUGACUUCAAUAGUGGACGCCCAGUCAGCAUCAGAAUAACAGACCAUUUCAAAACAACCUUUGGUGAAGUAUAAGCUAUGAUCCAAAGUUCCAUUAAGAUAUCUCAACACACGCUUCACUACCUGCCAGUGAGUAUCCUUUGGAGAAUUCAUGUACUGACUCAGUUUGUUGACAUACAUACUGUAAAGUUCCAAUAAUGCUACGAUACAAAUAACCAUUAGGAAAUGGACUGCCAUAUGUUGCAGUCAGCUUGGGUGUAACUACCAUAGGUGUUACAUCAUAAUCCAAUCAUAUGAUGCAACUUAAUAUUAGUUAAAUAUUAAGUAAUCAAUGAGCUAAUAUUUUCUUUGUUCA